This 497-nucleotide ribosomal RNA is filed under the name uncultured bacterium. RNAcentral's name for it is "partial 16S ribosomal RNA". It matches the Rfam family "Bacterial small subunit ribosomal RNA", at positions 28 to 507 of the family's 1533-position model. The record is from RNAcentral.
GAUGAACGCUGGCGGCGUGCCUAAUACAUGCAAGUCGAGCGAACAGACGAGGAGCUUGCUCCUCUGACGUUAGCGGCGGACGGGUGAGUAACACGUGGAUAACCUACCUAUAAGACUGGGAUAACUUCGGGAAACCGGAGCUAAUACCGGAUAAUAUAUUGAACCGCAUGGUUCAAUAGUGAAAGACGGUUUUCCUGUCACUUAUAGAUGGAUCCGCGCCGCAUUAGCUAGUUGGUAAGGUAACGGCUUACCAAGGCAACGAUGCGUAGCCGACCUGAGAGGGUGAUCGGCCACACUGGAACUGAGACACGGUCCAGACUCCUACGGGAGGCAGCAGUAGGGAAUCUUCCGCAAAGGGCGAAAGCCUGACGGAGCAACGCCGCGUGAGUGAUGAAGGUCUUCGGAUCGUAAAACUCUGUUAUUAGGGAAGAACAAAUGUGUAAGUAACUAUGCACGUCUUGACGGUACCUAAUCAGAAAGCCACGGCUAACUACGUG